RNAcentral lists this transfer RNA (388 nucleotides) under Companilactobacillus farciminis. Its description in RNAcentral is "Lactobacillus farciminis 16S-23S ribosomal RNA large intergenic spacer". The stretch from base 85 to 159 matches the Rfam family "tRNA". Lineage: Bacteria; Bacillati; Bacillota; Bacilli; Lactobacillales; Lactobacillaceae. The record is from RNAcentral.
CUAAGGAUAUGGUGCUUUAGCACCAACGGAAAUACACAACGUUAAAACUUUGUUUAGUUUUGAGAGGCCUACCGGGCGCAUUUCGGGCCUAUAGCUCAGCUGGUUUAGAGCGCACGCCUGAUAAGCGUGAGGUCGAUGGUUCAAGUCCAUUUAGGCCCAUUCUCAGAAAUUUUAAUAGUACCAUGGGGGUUUAGCUCAGCUGGGAGAGCACCUGCUUUGCAAGCAGGAGGUCAUCGGUUCGAUCCCGUUAACCUCCAUUGACAGAGAUGUCAUACUCGUACCUUGAAAACUGGAUAUUAAGAAUUAAUGAUUUAAAGAAACACCGAAAACUGCGCGAUAAAAGUGGAUGUAUUUCCAUAUUUUGUCAAGAUUAAGUUAUAAAGGGCGC